RNAcentral lists this ribosomal RNA (465 nucleotides) under uncultured bacterium. RNAcentral describes it as "partial 16S ribosomal RNA". It matches the Rfam family "Bacterial small subunit ribosomal RNA", at positions 28 to 507 of the family's 1533-position model. The record is from RNAcentral.
GACGAACGCUGGCGGCGUGCUUAACACAUGCAAGUCGAACGGAAAGGCCCCUUCGGGGGUACUCGAGUGGCGAACAGGUGAGUAACACGUGAGUAACCUGCCCUUGACUUCGGGAUAACUUCAGGAAACUGGGGCUAAUACCGGAUAGGAAUCCUUGCUGCAUGGUGGGGGUUGGAAAGCUUCGGCGGUUUUGGAUGGACUCGCGGCUUAUCAGCUUGUUGGUGGGGUAGUGGCUUACCAAGGCUUUGACGGGUAGCCGGCCUGAGAGGGCGACCGGCCACAUUGGGACUGAGAUACGGCCCAGACUCCUACGGGAGGCAGCAGGGGGGAAUAUUGCACAAUGGGCGGAAGCCUGAUGCAGCAACGCCGCGUGCGGGAGGACGGCCUUCGGGUUGUAAACCGCUUUCAGCAGGGGCGAAGCUUGUGGUGACGGUACCUGCAGAAGAAGCACCGGCUAACUACGUG